This 265-nucleotide ribosomal RNA is filed under the name uncultured archaeon. Its description in RNAcentral is "partial 16S ribosomal RNA". It matches the Rfam family "Archaeal small subunit ribosomal RNA", at positions 717 to 982 of the family's 1478-position model. The record is from RNAcentral.
ACACGACUACAUUAGAUACCCCUGUAGUCCUAGCCGUAAACGAUACUCGCUAGGUGUCGGCCACGGUGCGACCGUUGUCGGUGCCGUAGGGAAGCCGUGAAGCGAGCCACCUGGGAAGUACGGCCGCAAGGCUGAAACUUAAAGGAAUUGGCGGGGGAGCACAACAGCGGGUGGAGCUUGCGGUUUAAUUGGAUUCAACGCCGGAAAUCUUACCGGGACCGACAGCAACAUGAAGGCCAAGCUGAAGACUUUGCCGGAUUAGCUG